Molecule: ribosomal RNA, 419 nt
Filed under: bacterium
Lineage: Bacteria
Description: partial 16S ribosomal RNA
Rfam family: Bacterial small subunit ribosomal RNA
Source: RNAcentral
UGGGGGAUAUUGCACAAUGGGCGAAAGCCUGAUGCAGCGACGCCGCGUGGGGGAUGAAGGCCUUCGGGUUGUAAACUUCUUUUGCUCUGAACAAGGCAUGCUAAUGGGUGUGUUGAGUGUAGGGGUUGAUUAGCGCCGGCUAACUACGUGCCAGCAGCCGCGGUAAUACGUAGGGCGCGAGCGUUGUCCGGAAUUAUUGGGCGUAAAGGGCUUGUAGGUGGCUGGUUGCGUCUGUCGUGAAAGCUCAUGGCUUAACUGUGGGUUUGCGGUGGGUACGGGCUGGCUUGAGUGCAGUAGGGGAGGCUGGAGUUCCUGGUGUAGCGGUGGAAUGCGCAGAUAUCAGGAGGAAUACCGGUGGCGAAGGCGGGUCUCUGGGCUGUUACUGACACUGAGGAGCGAAAGCAUGGGGAGCGAACAGG